CGGCCGACCCCUCCCACCCCGGACAAAAACUGUUUGUGCCCCUUCCAUCUGGCAGGAGGCUGAGGUCCAUCAGGACUACGACCUCCCGCCACACGAACAGUUUCUUCCCGUCUGCAGUCGGGCUCAUCAAUAGAGCCCGGUCCCCCACUGCCUGACUAUAACACUCCACCGGUCACUCCCCCUCAUACCGCACAUGCCACUUUAACUGCAAUUCAUCACUUUUGCACUUUAUGCUUAAUAUUUUUCUUUUUUACUUUUUAAUAUUUAAAUUUUGUAAACUUUAUUCUCUUGUUUUAUACUAACCCAUAGCCUUAGCCUUAUUCUACUAACCCAUUGCAUUAGCAUUUCAUUCCACUUUAUUUUAUUACUUGUGCACUGUUGUCUUGUCUGUCUACUGUCAGUUGCACCAACCGCCAAGACAAAUUCCUUGUAUGUUUGGCAUAUUUUGGUAAUAAAUGUUUCCUGAUCCUGAUUCCUGAUUCCUGAUAUGACCUGGGACAAGAUGACGACGAGAAUGGCUUAGGAGGAGUGACGGCUUGGUGUGGAGCUUAUCCUCCUACACAAUCAAUUGAUCAAAAUAAACUGUGUUCAACCUUACCCCGUGGCUGGCUUGUGUCCUACCCAUGGGCAUGCCACAAUACUUAUUUGCUUUGAUUAUGUAACUUGUGUGCGUAACUAAACAAACACCUUUUUUUUACCAAUUUAUGUUGACUACAUAAUUCAAGUAUGAACAUAUUUUACCCAAAACCCGGAUCUUUCCUAAAGUAGUUUUGUUUAAAUUCCCAUUUAACCACUGAGCUCUGCCCAAGGGUGAGAAGAUAAAAUGAGUAGAAAUGAUAUGUAUACUGUCCUUAAAGGUGGUAUGCUAUUUACAAGUCUACGUAUUUAUUUACAGUAACUAAACAUACAAAGUUUUCAAAAUAAUGUAACUUUUGCUGUGGCAGUAAGAUGAUAACAGAUUCAAUUUCCCUUAAUCCCCAGCGGAUACAAACAUUGUUUUCUGCUCAACAAACAUGGUUUCUAACUAAUACCAGAUUUUGGAAUAUUUUAAAUUGUCUAUUGUUGACAGGGGUAUUUGCUGGUGUUCUUCUUGGUACGUUGUCGCCACCUGUCAAUGAGGCAAAUGGUGUGACUCAGGAUGUCUAUCGCAAUACCAUCAAAGUCCGAUGUCACCAAAACGUUGCUCUAUCGUCUCCAAGUGUUUAACUUUUUCAAAAGAAAUGUUAUUUCUACUUAUCUUAAAGACAUCCACGCAGACAUCCCAACCCUUCUUUCACUAGUCUAAUUAUUGAUUUAAACAUUUGCCUGUUACUGACAGAUUUGAACACACCCGCUCAGUGUGUUGAAGCUAUUUUUACUCUUUAUUGAAUAUUCAACAUGAACAGGCAGACUAACUUAUUUCUUAUUAUCUAGGACUGUGUUUUUCAGGCUACUUAAUGACCUAGUUAGAGACUGGGUGCAAGAGCACCAAAAUCAACGUUAGGAGGGGAAGCCCAUUACUUGUUAGCACGUCUCUUUUUUCUAUCUCUCCCAGCAUCUGUCUGCUAAUAUGUCUAUUAGUGGCUUUAUCUCUAAGGUCGAGUAUGUCUCGUCGUCACUAUCAGUCAAUCUCUCGCGCUUUUUGGAGCAGAGAUCUUUCUUUUUUUCACACCCUUCUGAAAGGGGCCCUCUGAACUUUGAAUUUAAUCCAUGAUGGCCCUAUAACUGGUACCUACUUAAAUCUACAGUGUCAGGUAAUUAGAGAACAGCAGAGUGAGUUUCAACGCACUUUUGUCCAUAUACACAUAGCUGCGGGCGCGCUGCAUUCCUACUGUCACACCGACGCAUACAGCAAUGCAUGCCUCCACGAGGACACCCAAAAAUUGGGACUCAAAAUUAGUUACCUGAGCUUUGAUAUGUGCAGUGCUGUGAAUGACGGAUGAUUUUUUAGCGUUGGGUUCAUUUACAUAGUUUUACUUUCCUCACAGCAUCAGCACUCUUAAUGUUUGUUUUUUCUCCUCCCCACAAAUUCCUCUGUGCUGAUUGCAUGUGUGUGUGUCCACACCCCAUCAGUGUAUGUGUGUGUCAUAGUGUGUUAUUACAGGGGGGAGAGCAGCAGAAGCUUGUCUUUUUC
Long non-coding RNA from Gasterosteus aculeatus aculeatus (three-spined stickleback), 2113 nucleotides. The record is from Ensembl. NCBI's taxonomy places the organism in Eukaryota, Metazoa, Chordata, Actinopteri, Perciformes, Gasterosteidae.